UACGAAGGGGGCUAGCGUUGCUCGGAAUUACUGGGCGUAAAGCGCACGUAGGCGGAUUGUUAAGUCGGGGGUGAAAUCCUGGAGCUCAACUCCAGAACUGCCCUUGAUACUGGCGAUCUCGAGUCCGGGAGAGGUGAGUGGAACUGCGAGUGUAGAGGUGAAAUUCGUAGAUAUUCGCAAGAACACCAGUGGCGAAGGCGGCUCACUGGCCCGGUACUGACGCUGAGGUGCGAAAGCGUGGGGAGCAAACAGG
RNAcentral lists this ribosomal RNA (253 nucleotides) under uncultured bacterium. Its description in RNAcentral is "partial 16S ribosomal RNA". It matches the Rfam family "Bacterial small subunit ribosomal RNA", at positions 524 to 776 of the family's 1533-position model. The record is from RNAcentral.